CCUUACUCCAUCUCCUUCCCUAUGGACAACACUGCAUAUUUCGGCAUCAAAGAAAGGGAAGUUUGCAGUUUGCUUCUCUCAGCAGCAGCUCUUGGAGCCUCAAGAUGCUUAUUAAGGGAGAAAAGCAAACGGGAAUAAACGCAUUGAUUAAGUUGUGCUUAGCACAAACCCUGGAUAGUGAUUCAGAGUAAUAAUAAAAACCUUGCAAAACAAUAUAAAUACCAGUGGGAUUAAAAAGCCUAACCCUCAAGCAAACAAGUCAGAGCACACAGAAGGAGUGUUGUAUCUAACAGCCCCAAGUUGCACAACACCCAACAUCUGCUGUCAGAAGCUUUCCGCCCCACUCAGAGCAGCCUCCAGCAAGCAGAGAGCAUUUCACCCCCCAAAUGGGGUUUAGUGUCUCCAUGUAUGUCCUCUAACUCCUCCUGCUGCAUUGCAACACCAACAGAGAGCCAUAGGAAUGCAGCUACCUGGAAGAAAUGGGAGAUGAGGGUGAGGGCUGCAGGGAACCAGAGCCAGGCAGGCAAACCACAGUGCUUACACAGACAGUUUGCUGGCAUAGGCUGUGCAGCAAGUGAGACCCCAGAUUCGGUGCCAUUGGAAAGUGACUGUUACUGAAUCCUUGAUAUCCCCUGAAUUUCAUGUCAUGUGUGACUGUGAUGGCCGUGUGCUCUGACCGGAGCCAAUUUAACUCCUGCAUGUGCUGACGUUGCCUUUCUGGGUCCCAGUCCAGCCAGGCUGGAGCCUGCAAGCCCCAGUGCGGGCUUAACCAGCUCCCUGCUGGGCUCUGUUAGCAGCAGUGAGGCACUGCUGCUCCUCUGUGCCUCUUUACAUCUGUUUCUGUGUUUUGGAGGAACCCUGCCAAGAACACCCCCUUUCCAUUGGCUCUCACGUCUGAUUUAUUUGGAGUCUCUCAGCCCCUCACCCUUGGUGUCGGCCAGAUCACUGGAGCAGGAGUCACAAGAUUUAAAAAAAAAA
Coturnix japonica (Japanese quail) is the source of this 978-nucleotide long non-coding RNA. RefSeq lists it as uncharacterized. The record is from RefSeq and is a predicted model, not a curated record. Lineage: Eukaryota; Metazoa; Chordata; Aves; Galliformes; Phasianidae.